Long non-coding RNA from Cercocebus atys (sooty mangabey), 741 nucleotides. RefSeq lists it as uncharacterized. The record is from RefSeq and is a predicted model, not a curated record. NCBI's taxonomy places the organism in Eukaryota, Metazoa, Chordata, Mammalia, Primates, Cercopithecidae. The transcript is spliced from 2 exons.
GUGGCUGGGCCUUCCUGGUCCCCUGCCUGGCUGCGGUGGAGGCCAAGGACAGCCAGGACCCGGGGAAGACGCAGUUCUGUGAUGGCCAGGCCUGUGGGCACCAGGAGUAGAGGGAAGGAAGGAUGGCUGGGGCUGGGGGCUGGGAGCAGAGGGAUGCUCAGCCACCUGCUGUGGUGGACGGCUGAUGAGCUGUGCCAGAGACGCUGGGGUGGGCAGAGGACUGGGGAAACUGCAGUCUCCCAAGGCGGUCGGGAGCUGGCCUGGCCCAGGGAGGCCCCUCUGCUGGGGAACAAGGCCGAGGCCCGAGAGUGACGCAGCCUCCCGAGGCCACGCCGCCGGCGAGGGGCCAAGCCUGUCCUUCCCGAGUGCAGCACCACUUCCAGGACACACACGUGGUUCUCAGUGCUGGGGGCCGGAGCAGCCCCCGCCGGUCUGGCCAGGACUCAGUGCAGGAAGGGACCGCCCCAGGCAGGGACCGCCCCAGGCAGGGCCCUGUGAGGGACCUGGUGCCCUCACGGCUCUGGCAGCUGGCAUCCAGUUUUGAGCCACCCCAGUUUUGUUUUGUUUUUUUCUUUUAAUGUUUAAAGAAUGCAGCUGUAUUCACGUCCAUCGGGACAGCUCAAAAGGUAGUUGAUAAAUCUAUUCAAAUUUAUUUUCCUAGUAGAAGCCCUGAAGGGGUUGUUUCCUGUUUGUUGAAAUGAAAUCCACGUAGCGUGAAGCGGGCUGUUUCAAAGCGUGCGA